This is a non-coding RNA of Capsicum annuum, 102 nucleotides long. The record is from Rfam. Lineage: Eukaryota; Viridiplantae; Streptophyta; Magnoliopsida; Solanales; Solanaceae.
AUUCCUUCGGGUAUAUCCGAUAAAAUUGGAAUAAUACACCGAAGAUUAGCAUGGCCCUGUGCAAGAAUGACACGCACAAAUCGACAAAUGGUCCAAAUUUUU